Molecule: ribosomal RNA, 348 nt
Filed under: Mesomycoplasma hyopneumoniae
Lineage: Bacteria; Bacillati; Mycoplasmatota; Mycoplasmoidales; Metamycoplasmataceae
Description: bacterial SSU rRNA
Rfam family: Bacterial small subunit ribosomal RNA
Source: RNAcentral
CCGGGUUUCUGCAUGUUGACGGAUAUUUUAGUUCGCUAAAAUAUUUAGUAGCAAAUGGGUGAGUAACACGUACCUAACCUACCUUUUGGACUGGGAUAACCAUUGGAAACAGUGGCUAAUACCGGAUAUGAUAAAAAUUUGCAUGAAUUUUUAUUCAAAGGAGCCUUCAAGCUUCACCAAGAAAUGGGGGUGCGCAACAUUAGUUAGUUGGUAGGGUAAAAGCCUACCAAGACGAUGAUGUUUAGCGGGGCCAAGAGGUUGUACCGCCACACUGGGAUUGAGAUACGGCCCAGACUCCUACGGGAGGCAGCAGUAAGGAAUAUUCCACAAUAAGCGAAAGCUUGAUGA